UGGGGAAUCUUGGACAAUGGGGGCAACCCUGAUCCAGCCAUGCCGCGUGAGCGAUGAAGGCCUUAGGGUUGUAAAGCUCUUUCACCGGUGAAGAUAAUGACGGUAGCCGGAGAAGAAGCCCCGGCUAACUCCGUGCCAGCAGCCGCGGUAAUACGGAGGGGGCUAGCGUUGUUCGGAAUUACUGGGCGUAAAGCGCGCGUAGGCGGAUUGUUAAGUCGGGGGUGAAAUCCCGGGGCUCAACCCCGGAACUGCCUCCGAUACUGGCAGUCUUGAGGUCGAGAGAGGUGAGUGGAAUGGCGAGUGUAGAGGUGAAAUUCGUAGAUAUUCGCCGGAACACCAGUGGCGAAGGCGGCUCACUGGCUCGAUACUGACGCUGAGGUGCGAAAGCGUGGGGAGCAAACAGGAUUAGAUACCCCCGUAGUCC
Molecule: ribosomal RNA, 424 nt
Filed under: uncultured prokaryote
Description: bacterial SSU rRNA
Rfam family: Bacterial small subunit ribosomal RNA
Source: RNAcentral